Telopea speciosissima is the source of this 98-nucleotide long non-coding RNA. RefSeq lists it as uncharacterized. NCBI's taxonomy places the organism in Eukaryota, Viridiplantae, Streptophyta, Magnoliopsida, Proteales, Proteaceae. The transcript is spliced from 3 exons. The record is from RefSeq and is a predicted model, not a curated record.
GCCGAGAUUUGCAUUGGAGAUGGAUGGGUUACACUUUUUUGAAACCAUCGUGUCGUAGUGCUUAUGGGGACCUGGGAGCGAUGAUAAUCUUCACUUUC